Molecule: long non-coding RNA, 584 nt
Filed under: Sorghum bicolor (sorghum)
Lineage: Eukaryota; Viridiplantae; Streptophyta; Magnoliopsida; Poales; Poaceae
Description: long non-coding RNA (SBIC_LNC017815)
Source: RNAcentral
GCACGACACCAGAUAAAUGCAUAGAGUUUACAAUCUUAAGUAAAGGUACUUAGGUACACCAAUCAAUAGUUCAUGAAUAUAAAGAAUAAAACUGCAAGUGAACAGAAAUAUCAUUGUAGCAUUUCAACCUAUGAGUAUUCAAGGGUUCUCGUAUUUAAUCUUGUAGGAGGGUGUAACAAAUUCAUCUAGCUUUGUUUGUAGCAUGAUCACUUAUUGAGAUGCAUAGGUAGACAUAGUCUAAUCAGGGGUCACGGCAGGCUCUUAAAAUAUGGAUAGUGGACACACUCAUCGGGGCAACCUCAUGGAAUAAAGAGAAAAUAAGGAAAUAAAAAAAAUAAAGAACAACUACUUGAGCCGGCAUUGAUCUUAUAUAACUAUGCAAAGAAUUGUUAGUACAACAUCUAAUCAAUAUAACUAGAGUUAGAACUAAGUAUGAGGCUCUGGGGAGAUCCCCGCAGCUAAACAUCUAGCCGAUAGGGACUUUACAGAACUCCUACCGGAAUACCUGAUCGUGGGGAAAUUCCAGGGAUGACAGGGCUGUCACUACCCUGCCACCUGCCCCUCUACCCGAAAGAUACCCGCGC